GGAGAGGGGCCAGUUUUCAUGGCUGCUAGACAAUUUGGGUUCUCUGCCAGUGAGGUCUGCUGGGGUGGUGGGGGUGGUACACAUAUGUUCUGGCUGCUGGAAGCUAUUAGAGUCCAGGUGUCUGAGCCAAGUAAGCAAGCAUGGAAACACUGCUCUUGGUUUCAAGCAGAUCCUGCCAGAGGAAUAAGCAGACCAUGUUCCAGUGUCUUAGAAAAUUAAUGCGUAGUACUUGAUUUAUUGUUGUUUCUGCUGGGGGUGCAAAACCAAAUUGCACAGCUCUCUUCUGUGGAAACCUGCAGAGGGAUGUGUCAUCAAGUUUAUAACAGCUCAUCACCCCUGCCCCCCUUCUUGCAGGGAUGAGAAUAGAGAUUAACAUGUUUUACUGCCAAAUAGCUACUCUGAAAGUUACAGACUUGAAAGUUUGAUUUUAAAAAAAGGUUUCCCAAUCAA
Molecule: long non-coding RNA, 450 nt
Organism: Ornithorhynchus anatinus (platypus)
Lineage: Eukaryota; Metazoa; Chordata; Mammalia; Monotremata; Ornithorhynchidae
Exons: 2
Source: RefSeq, a predicted model, not a curated record